Molecule: ribosomal RNA, 201 nt
Filed under: uncultured bacterium
Lineage: Bacteria
Description: partial 16S ribosomal RNA
Rfam family: Bacterial small subunit ribosomal RNA
Source: RNAcentral
GCAGGCUGNAACCCGCCUGCAUGAAGUUGGAAUCGCUAGUAAUCGCGGAUCAGCAUGCCGCGGUGAAUACGUUCCCGGGCCUUGUACACACCGCCCGUCACACCAUGAGAGUCGGGAACACCCGAAGUCCGUAGUCUGACCGCAAGGGGGACGCGGCCGAAGGUGGGUUCGAUAAUUGGGGUGAAGUCGUAACAAGGUAUC